Molecule: ribosomal RNA, 425 nt
Filed under: Selenomonas sputigena
Lineage: Bacteria; Bacillati; Bacillota; Negativicutes; Selenomonadales; Selenomonadaceae
Description: bacterial SSU rRNA
Rfam family: Bacterial small subunit ribosomal RNA
Source: RNAcentral
GACGAACGCGGCGGCGUGCUUAACACAUGCAAGUCGAACGGGAACCUUUAUUUCGGUAAAGGUGAGAGUGGCAAACGGGUGAGUAACACGUAGGCAACCUGCCGACAGGAUGGGGACAACAUUCCGAAAGGAAUGCUAAUACCGAAUGGAGUCCGAGGAUGGCAUCAUCCUCGGAUAAAAGAUGGCCUCUGAAUAUGCUAUCGCCUGUCGAUGGGCCUGCGUCUGAUUAGCCAGUUGGCGGGGUAACGGCCCACCAAAGCGACGAUCAGUAGCCGGUCUGAGAGGAUGAACGGCCACAUUGGGACUGAGACACGGCCCAGACUCCUACGGGAGGCAGCAGUGGGGAAUCUUCCACAAUGGGCGAAAGCCUGAUGGAGCAACGCCGCGUGAGUGAAGAAGGUUUUCGGAUGUAAAGCUUCUGUUGC